This 130-nucleotide small nuclear RNA is filed under the name Anopheles epiroticus. Its description in RNAcentral is "U5 spliceosomal RNA". The stretch from base 1 to 90 matches the Rfam family "U5 spliceosomal RNA". Rfam says of the family: U5 RNA is a component of both types of known spliceosome. The precise function of this molecule is unknown, though it is known that the 5' loop is required for splice site selection and p220 binding, and that both the 3' stem-loop and the Sm site are important for Sm protein binding and cap methylation. The record is from RNAcentral. Lineage: Eukaryota; Metazoa; Arthropoda; Insecta; Diptera; Culicidae.
GUACUCUGAUCUCUCUUCAAUUGUCAAAUAAAUCUUUCGCCUUUUACUAAAGAUUUCCGUGGAGAGGGAUAUUAAAAAGAAACGUCUAAAGACGGUACAAGUUUUGAUGAAAUAAUAAAGUAAGCAUGUG